This is a long non-coding RNA of Cydia splendana, 207 nucleotides long. RefSeq lists it as uncharacterized. The transcript is spliced from 2 exons. The record is from RefSeq and is a predicted model, not a curated record. NCBI's taxonomy places the organism in Eukaryota, Metazoa, Arthropoda, Insecta, Lepidoptera, Tortricidae.
UUAGAUUACAAAAUAAAGAAUAAGUGCUAAUUAUACUACAAACGUACCCAUUUUUUUAGUUUAAGUGCUUAAAUGAAGGUUUUUUUUAGUUUGUGAAUAAGUAAAGUAAUUUUUUAGUUUAAGUGCCUAAUUGAAGAGGUAGCUGAUUGUGAUUUAUGUUCGUAACUUACGGUACUUUAUAAAUUGAAAUAAAAUAAUUUGUAAUGA